This 582-nucleotide ribosomal RNA is filed under the name [Eubacterium] yurii. Its description in RNAcentral is "bacterial LSU rRNA". It matches the Rfam family "Bacterial large subunit ribosomal RNA", at positions 2341 to 2925 of the family's 2925-position model. The record is from RNAcentral. Lineage: Bacteria; Bacillati; Bacillota; Clostridia; Peptostreptococcales; Filifactoraceae.
UGCGAAGAGUGCAAAGGCAAAAGGGAGCUUGAUUGCGAGACCAACAAGUCGAGCAAAGACGAAAGUCGGGCUUAGUGAUCCGGUGGUAGAAAGUGGAAUUGCCAUCGCUCAACGGAUAAAAGCUACCCUGGGGAUAACAGGCUGAUCUCCCCCAAGAGUUCACAUCGACGGGGAGGUUUGGCACCUCGAUGUCGGCUCAUCACAUCCUGGGGCUGGAGUAGGUCCCAAGGGUUGGGCUGUUCGCCCAUUAAAGUGGUACGCGAGCUGGGUUCAGAACGUCGUGAGACAGUUCGGUCCCUAUCCGUCGCAGGCGUUGGAUAUUUGAGAGGAGCUAUCCUUAGUACGAGAGGACCGGGAUGGACGCACCACUGGUGUACCAGUUGUCUUGCCAAAGGCACAGCUGGGUAGCUAUGUGCGGUUAAGAUAAGUGCUGAAGGCAUCUAAGCACGAAGCCAACCUCAAGAUAAGAUAUCCCAUACGCAAGUAGUAAGACCCCAUUAAGAACAAGUGGUAGAUAGGCAAGGAGUGGAAGUGCAGUAAUGUAUGUAGCUGACUUGUACUAAUAGGUCGAGGACUUAACCU